RNAcentral lists this ribosomal RNA (55 nucleotides) under Cycas revoluta. The record is from RNAcentral. Lineage: Eukaryota; Viridiplantae; Streptophyta; Cycadopsida; Cycadales; Cycadaceae.
AAACCGGGCACUACGGUGAGACGUGAAAACACCCGAUCCCAUUCCGACCUCGAUA